AUGAAACCAUUCAGUUCAACCAAUUUGAGCAGAAUUAUUACAUUAUUCGUAAUGAAGAUCGGUGCGGUCAUGUUUGUUGGGCUGAUUUUUAUCAACUUAUGCACCUGCAUGCCAAGAAAUGUUGCGAACCAUGAAUCUCACAAUACAGCGGUGCCACAGAAGGAAAUGCGCAGUCUGAUGUCUGGCACUGAUGGAAGGAACGGACCUCCGAGCAAUGAUCACCAGUGCCCACUUGGGACCUACCCUAAUUGCCAAGGGAUGUCCCAGAAUACUCAAGAAGCAGCUCAAGAUGUUGGAGGAAACUAA
This 306-nucleotide ribosomal RNA is filed under the name Triticum aestivum (bread wheat). RNAcentral describes it as "partial small subunit ribosomal RNA". Lineage: Eukaryota; Viridiplantae; Streptophyta; Magnoliopsida; Poales; Poaceae. The record is from RNAcentral.